CCUAUCAAGUAGGGAACGUCACAUUACGUCGUUAAUAUUCAUGAGUUCAGCAUUUGCAGUAGGAUUAUUUAUUUGUUCGCAUUUAUUCAUUAUUUAUGACUUACUCAUUUGUCAUAGCUAUUAUAGGAUGUGAACUUAUAAUCAACAAUAGGUCAUUUGGUUUGAUUUAAACUAUAUUUCAGUUUGUUUGAGGAGUGAUUCGGUUAAAAAUACCACAAGAGGGCAGAAGUGCACUGAAUAGGCCUAUAGAUAAUAUUUGCAAAACAAUACUGCACUUUAAUUAUAUUUUACGCAUUCACGUAUUUGCUCCCGUACAGUUCACCAUAUUUGCGUUUUUUGCUCCACAGAAGUCCCUGAUACAACAUUUGCGUAUCUCAGCAAAUAUUGAUUAAUCCCCAUCUAUUGACCAAUUAAAUACCGGAUUUUCUGCCGUAGUCAGAAGGGCGCGCUGAUAAGAGCGAGAUAGUAGGGUUUCACUUCAUUGCUUUGAGGCUGUAAACGCAGAUAAACACGAAGGUGAAAAGUUGAGCAUUUGGAAGAGUAGUGAUGUCAAGUGGCCCAUGAAAGCGAUGAGGUCAGAAGAACGAAUGGUGUUGAAGUGUGGCAUGUUCAGGAGAACCAAUAGGAGGACAGACCGACUCCGGCAGCCAGAACUUCUGCAGAAAGCUCAGACAGCGUGCAGUACCUGUACUCUUCCCUCAGACAGCUGCGUUCGACAGGUGAGCUGGUCUCUGGUGUGAACGUCAGGAUAGUGUGUUUCCUGGAAAACUCUCUCCAGCUCCUCCAGCUGGCUCACGGUG
Molecule: long non-coding RNA, 800 nt
Organism: Cyprinus carpio (common carp)
Lineage: Eukaryota; Metazoa; Chordata; Actinopteri; Cypriniformes; Cyprinidae
Exons: 3
Source: RefSeq, a predicted model, not a curated record